GACGAACGCUGGCGGCGUGCUUAACACAUGCAAGUCGAACGGAAAGGCCCUGCUUUUGUGGGGUGCUCGAGUGGCGAACGGGUGAGUAAAACGUGAGUAACCUGCCCUUGACUUUGGGAUAACUUCAGGAAACUGGGGCUAAUACCGGAUAGGAGCUCUUGCUGCAUGGUGGGGGAUGGAAAGAUUCGGCGGUUUGGGAUGGACUAGCGGCUUAUCAGCUUGUUGGUGGGGUAGUGGCUUACCAAGGCUUUGACGGGUAGGCCGCCUGAGAGGGUGACCGGCCACAUUGGGACUGAGGUACGGCCCAGACUCCUACGGUAGGCAGCAGUGCGGAAUAUUGCACGAUGGACGGAAGCCUGAUGCAGCAACGCCGCGUGCGGGAUGACGGCCUUCGGGUUGUAAACCGCUUUCGCCUGUGACGAAACGUGGGUGACGGUAAUGUGUAAAGAAGCACCGGCUAACUACGUG
Molecule: ribosomal RNA, 468 nt
Filed under: uncultured bacterium
Lineage: Bacteria
Description: partial 16S ribosomal RNA
Rfam family: Bacterial small subunit ribosomal RNA
Source: RNAcentral